GCCAAAUUAAGGUGAAACCGCGAAAGGCUCAUUAAAUCAGUUAUGGUUCCUUAGAUCGUACCCACUUUUACUUGGAUAACUGUGGUAAUUCUAGAGCUAAUACAUGCAAAUAGAGCCCCGACCGGAGACGGAAGGGGUGCUUUUAUUAGAUCAAAACCAAUCGGCGACGGGUCAAACCGUUGUCGUAAUAUUUGGUGACUCUGAAUAACUUUGUGCUGAUCGCACGGUCUAGCACCGGCGACGCAUCUUUCAAAUGUCUGCCUUAUCAACUGUCGAUGGUAGGUUCUGCGCCUACCAUGGUUGUAACGGGUAACGGGGAAUCAGGGUUCGAUUCCGGAGAGGGAGCCUGAGAAACGGCUACCACAUCCAAGGAAGGCAGCAGGCGCGCAAAUUACCCACUCCCGGCACGGGGAGGUAGUGACGAAAAAUAACGAUACGGGACUCAUCCGAGGCCCCGUAAUCGGAAUGAGUACAUUUUAAAAUCCUUAACAAGGAUCAAUUGGAGGGCAAGUCUGGUGCCAGCAGCUGCGGUAAUUCCAGCUCCAAUAGCGUAUAUUAAAGUUGUUGCGGUUAAAAAGCUCGUAGUCGAAUCUGUGUCCUACGCCGUCGGUUCACCGCUCGCGGUGUUCAACUGGCGUGCCGUGGGACGUCCUGCCGGUGGGCUUAGUCUUUCGGGGCUGCCCAACUAAAAAUCCCAUCGCGGUGCUCUUAAUUGAGUGUCGAGGUGGGCCGGCACGUUUACUUUGAACAAAUUAGAGUGCUUAAAGCAGGCUAAAAUUUCGCUUGAAUACUGUGUGCAUGGAAUAAUGGAAUAGGACCUCGGUUCUAUUUUGUUGGUUUUCGGAACCCCGAGGUAAUGAUUAAUAGGAACGGAUGGGGGCAUUCGUAUUGCGACGUUAGAGGUGAAAUUCUUGGAUCGUCGCAAGACGGACAUAAGCGAAAGCAUUUGCCAAAAACGCUUUCAUUGAUCAAGAACGAAAGUUAGAGGUUCGAAGGCGAUCAGAUACCGCCCUAGUUCUAACCAUAAACUAUGCCAGCUAGCGAUCCGCCGACGUUCCUCCGAUGACUCGGCGGGCAGCUUCCGGGAAACCAAAGCUUUUGGGUUCCGGGGGAAGUAUGGUUGCAAAGCUGAAACUUAAAGGAAUUGACGGAAGGGCACCACCAGGAGUGGAGCCUGCGGCUUAAUUUGACUCAACACGGGAAACCUCACCAGGCCCGGACACCUGAAGGAUUGACAGAUUGAGAGCUCUUUCUUGAUUAGGUGGGUGGUGGUGCAUGGCCGUUCUUAGUUGGUGGAGCGAUUUGUCUGGUUAAUUCCGAUAACGAACGAGACUCUAACCUAUUAACUAUAAAAUUAA
RNAcentral lists this ribosomal RNA (1358 nucleotides) under Ochthebius quadrifoveolatus. RNAcentral describes it as "SSU rRNA". It matches the Rfam family "Eukaryotic small subunit ribosomal RNA", at positions 69 to 1366 of the family's 1831-position model. The record is from RNAcentral. Lineage: Eukaryota; Metazoa; Arthropoda; Insecta; Coleoptera; Hydraenidae.